Podarcis raffonei (Aeolian wall lizard) is the source of this 964-nucleotide long non-coding RNA. RefSeq lists it as uncharacterized. NCBI's taxonomy places the organism in Eukaryota, Metazoa, Chordata, Lepidosauria, Squamata, Lacertidae. The transcript has 3 exons. The record is from RefSeq and is a predicted model, not a curated record.
AGCCAUAGGGAAACAUAAUUUAGUGGGAGGGAACAUCCUAGACAAAUGUCUACUCCGUGGUUUAUGAGGGCAUGCAAUGCUAACCACACCUUUCACAGCUAAACCCCUGAAAACUGGGAGAUUGACAAAGGGGCCCAAACGUGAGGAGUAUUCAUUAAAAGAUGCAAAUAGCCAGAAUCUGUGCUGUUUUGUUUCAGUCUCCUUUAUCCCAUUGAAAACAGGAAAGCCUCCUGUCAAGCAGACUCAGAGAUUCUCAGGGCCCAAUAAAGUGAGCAAAACCAAAACUCCAGUGAGAAUAUGUGGGAUUUGAAGGAGUGGCAGCUAGCUUUACCUUUCCCAUGUGAGGAUGGGAAAGUACUAACUAACAGAGGAAACUCAGUAAGAGCUGAGAAGGAAGGCUACCACAAGUGGGAGCUGUAGCUACCAUCUAAUGCUGGUCCUGCAGCAACCAUAUGGAGAGCUUUAGCAGAGCAAGAACAUGCAGCUGAUGCUUUGUAUUAGAGGUGAAGAGGUGACUUGAAUUGUGCUACUGUUAAUUUGCCCUUUAAGCAGCUACAGCAGGGAGUCUAUAAUGGCAAGAAGCCGUGCAAGGAGAUUUGCCUAUCAGAUUAUUAUGUCAGAAAUGCUAAAGAUUGAAAGCAAUGGAAGGGCAAAUAGCUUUUGGUAACCAAUUUAACAUAAUCCACAGAGCUUUCAAGGACACCCAUUUGUAAAUAUGUUGUAAGUUUACUCAGAUAAAAUGCAUUCAUACCUACAUUUCUCCCCAGUAUUUUUAUGCUAGUGGAGACAAGAUGCUUUUGGUCCUUCAUUGCGUGUGUGUGUGUGUCUGUCUGUCUGUCUGUGUUUAAUGAUGCUCUUAACUCCUCUGUGCCAUGCCAGAGACUAUUUAAAGAACCGUCAUGGCAAAAUACACCCCAGUUGCAUUGUUUUUAGCAAUCCGUCCCACGACGACAAACAUAUUCCU